GACGAACGCUGGCGGCGUGCUUAACACAUGCAAGUCGAACGCUGCCGCCCCAGCUUGCUGGUGUGGAUGAGUGGCCGCCGGGUGAGUAAUACUUGAGUAACCUGCCCUUGACUCUGGGAUAAGCCCGGGAAACUGGGUCUCAUCCUGGAUACUACAUGUCACCGCAUGGUGGUGUGUGGAUAGAGUUUACUGGUCUUGGAUGGGCUCACGGCCUAUCAGCUUGUUCGUGAGGGAAUGGCACACCAAGGCGACGACGGGUAGCCGGACUGAGAGGGUGACCGGCCACAGUGAGACUGAGACAGGGACCAGGCUCCGACGGGAGGGAGCAGUGGGGAAGAGUGAAAAAUGGGCGAAGGCGUGAGGCAGCGGCGGCGCGGGAGGGAUGACGGUCUUCGGGUUGUAAACCUCAUUCAGCAGGGAAGAAGCCGAAAGUGACGGUACCGGCAGAAGAAGCGCCGGCUAACUACGUG
This 470-nucleotide ribosomal RNA is filed under the name uncultured bacterium. RNAcentral's name for it is "partial 16S ribosomal RNA". It matches the Rfam family "Bacterial small subunit ribosomal RNA", at positions 28 to 507 of the family's 1533-position model. The record is from RNAcentral.